AAGCGUGUAGCUCAACUGGCUAGAGCGACUUGUUCACUUUAUGCGAUAGUGAAUAAUGUAUUUUGCAGGUUCGAAUCCUGCCACGCUUG
This 89-nucleotide transfer RNA is filed under the name Peribacillus asahii. RNAcentral describes it as "tRNA-OTHER". It matches the Rfam family "tRNA". From Rfam's summary of the family: Transfer RNA (tRNA) molecules are approximately 80 nucleotides in length. The record is from RNAcentral. Lineage: Bacteria; Bacillati; Bacillota; Bacilli; Caryophanales; Bacillaceae.